Small nucleolar RNA from Loxodonta africana (African savanna elephant), 70 nucleotides. Ensembl annotates it as small nucleolar RNA SNORD50. Its record names the gene SNORD50B. Lineage: Eukaryota; Metazoa; Chordata; Mammalia; Proboscidea; Elephantidae. The record is from Ensembl.
AAUCAAUGAUGACACCUAUCCCGAAGCUGAUUACCUGAAGAAAAAUAUAUACGGAUUCGGCUUCUGAGAU